RNAcentral lists this unclassified non-coding RNA (490 nucleotides) under Plectosphaerella cucumerina. RNAcentral's name for it is "sequence contains 18S rRNA gene, ITS1, 5.8S rRNA gene, ITS2". The stretch from base 168 to 321 matches the Rfam family "5.8S ribosomal RNA". The record is from RNAcentral. Lineage: Eukaryota; Fungi; Ascomycota; Sordariomycetes; Glomerellales; Plectosphaerellaceae.
CGUUGGUGAACCAGCGGAGGGAUCAUUACUGAGUACUACACUCUCUACCCUUUGUGAACUAUUAUACCUGUUGCUUCGGCGGCGCCCGCGAGGGUGCCCGCCGGUCUCAUCAGAAUCUCUGUUUUCGAACCCGACGAUACUUCUGAGUGUUCUUAGCGAACUGUCAAAACUUUUAACAACGGAUCUCUUGGCUCCAGCAUCGAUGAAGAACGCAGCGAAACGCGAUAUGUAAUGUGAAUUGCAGAAUUCAGUGAAUCAUCGAAUCUUUGAACGCACAUGGCGCCUUCCAGUAUCCUGGGAGGCAUGCCUGUCCGAGCGUCGUUUCAACCCUCGAGCCCCCGUGGCCCGGCGUUGGGGAUCUGCCACGGCAGGCCCCUAAAACCAGUGGCGGACCCGAAGGCCCUCUCCUUUGCGCAGUAGCAUCAGCCUCGCAUUGGGAUCCCUCGGCGUCCUGCCUCUAAACCCCCCACAAGUCCGCUCCGGCGGCACC